RNAcentral lists this transfer RNA (74 nucleotides) under Pseudomonas phage M5.1. Its description in RNAcentral is "tRNA-Thr". It matches the Rfam family "tRNA". From Rfam's summary of the family: Transfer RNA (tRNA) molecules are approximately 80 nucleotides in length. Their secondary structure includes four short double-helical elements and three loops (D, anti-codon, and T loops). The record is from RNAcentral. Lineage: Duplodnaviria; Heunggongvirae; Uroviricota; Caudoviricetes; Vandenendeviridae.
GCCCUUUUAGUAUAAUGGUAUUACGCCGGUUUUGUAAUCCGGUUAUCACAGUUCGAUUCUGUGAAGGGGCACCA